CACUGACAUUAGAUACCCCCGUAGUCCCAGCCGUAAACUAUGCGCGUUAGGUGUAUCGGUGACCACGAGUUACCGAGGUGCCGAAGGGAAACCGUGAAACGUGCCGCCUGGGAAGUACGGUCGCAAGGCUGAAACUUAAAGGAAUUGGCGGGGAGCACCACAACAGGUGGAGCCUGCGGUUUAAUUGGACUCAACGCCGGGAAGCUCACCGGAUAGGACAGCAGAAUGAUUGCCGGGCUGAAGACCCUGCAUGACUAGCUG
Molecule: ribosomal RNA, 261 nt
Filed under: uncultured archaeon
Lineage: Archaea
Description: partial 16S ribosomal RNA
Rfam family: Archaeal small subunit ribosomal RNA
Source: RNAcentral